AGUCGUAACAAGGUUUCCGUAGGUGAACCUGCGGAAGGAUCAUUACAAAUCGGUUGGUUAAGGGGGAAUUUUGGGGGGAAGCUUUGGUUUCUCUCCAGGCGACUGCUUAACCAACACAUAUGCACAGGGUCGCAAGACUCUGAUGUUUACGCUUGUAUGUUUGACUGUAUCAUGAGACACUAAAUAUAGACAACUUUAAACAAUGGAUCUCUUGGCUCUUGCAACGAUGAAGAACGCAGUAAAGUGCGAUAUGUAGUGCGAUUUGCAUGAAUCUGUGAGUCAUCUAAUCUUUGAACGCAACUUGCGCCUCUAUGAGGCAUGUUUGUUUGAGUGCCGCAUACUCUCUGCAGCAAUGCGACUUGACCGUGUCUCUGACUCGGUCUAAACAAAGCCGGAAAGUGGCUGUAUAGACUAGCCCGAGUGCUAAGCAUUCUUGGAACUAGUCUACACUAACCACCAAAUAUUCUAACUUUGGCCUCAAAUCAAGCAAGACUACCCGCUGAACUUAAGCAUAUCAGUAAGCGGAGGAAAAGAAACUAACAAGGAUUCCCCUAGUAACGGCGAGUGAAGCGGGAAAAGCUCAAAUUUAAAAUCUCGACGCCCCGCGUCGCGAAUUGUAGUCUAAAGAGGGCAAUCUAGGGUAGGGUGGAUGCUAAAGUCCCUUGGAAUAGGGCACCAGAGAGGGUGAGAGUCCCGUAAAAGCAUCUGACCUGCCUCAAGUGAAAGCCUCUCAACGAGUCGAGUUGUUUGGGAAUGCAGCUCAAAGUGGGUGGUAAAUCUCAUCUAAGGCUAAAUACUGGCAAGAGACCGAUAGCGAACAAGUACCGUGAGGGAAAGAUGAAAAGCACCUUGAAAAGGGAGUUAAAUAGUGCGUGAAAUUGUUUAAAGGGAAACGAUAGAGACCAGUGUUGAUGCGUGCUUCAAGCCGGUGCCUUGGUGCCGGUAGCGAGUGCGCAUCGAGUCAAUGCCAGUUGCGGUUGCCGGAUACGAGUAGCAGGAAGGUGGGGCGGGUUUUAGGACGCGCUCUUUAUAGACUGUUAUUUCUGCGGCCGCUGCGACUGGAAGUUUGGGACCGCCAGGCGACUAGUGGGGAAUGAUGACCGGACAGCAUUGCUGGCCGGCUACUCUCCCCCCUCUACGAGC
This 1143-nucleotide ribosomal RNA is filed under the name uncultured fungus. Its description in RNAcentral is "eukaryotic LSU rRNA". The stretch from base 473 to 1143 matches the Rfam family "Eukaryotic large subunit ribosomal RNA", at positions 1 to 614 of the family's 3401-position model. The record is from RNAcentral. Lineage: Eukaryota; Fungi.